Molecule: long non-coding RNA, 458 nt
Organism: Paramacrobiotus metropolitanus
Lineage: Eukaryota; Metazoa; Tardigrada; Eutardigrada; Parachela; Macrobiotidae
Exons: 3
Source: RefSeq, a predicted model, not a curated record
AGGAAAUGUUACAACAUUAUUUUGGAUAAAGCUGCGUUAAGGAGUCCGGCAUCCCUGCACGCACGCGGGAUCGGUUGACGUGGAUCACGCUGCAUCAUUUAUCUUCCCAUGGCUAUGAAGAUCGGCAGAUGAACAAGCGACGACUCUGUCAGCUGACUGGCAUCCAGGAUGAUUUGCGGGCAAGUUUUGCGGCCAUGAAGGCCAUCGCCAUAGCCACCAAACUGAAUCCCCAACAGCGUGCGGAAACAAUCAAGGGUAUUUUAAAUGACCUUGACCGAGGCCAAGAGGCCCAGAAAAUUCUACAGACGUUCGGCAUCAAAAUUAGUAAAGAAUUGCUACGUAUGCCUGGGCGAGUGUUACAGCGCGAACAGCUUUAUCUGUGGUCAAUCACCAAAUCCCGUUACUGUUCCGGAAAACGGCGACUGGACGCGUAAUACGACCGGUGGAAAGCUUAUGGA